Molecule: ribosomal RNA, 433 nt
Filed under: uncultured bacterium
Lineage: Bacteria
Description: partial 16S ribosomal RNA
Rfam family: Bacterial small subunit ribosomal RNA
Source: RNAcentral
AACGAACGCUGGCGGCAUGCCUAACACAUGCAAGUCGAACGAGACCUUCGGGUCUAGUGGCGCACGGGUGCGUAACGCGUGGGAACCUGCCCUUAGGUUCGGAAUAACUCCCCGAAAGGGGUGCUAAUACCGGAUAAUGUCUUCGGACCAAAGAUUUAUCGCCUUUGGAUGGGCCCGCGUUGGAUUAGCUAGUUGGUAGGGUAAAAGCCUACCAAGGCGACGAUCCAUAGCUGGUCUGAGAGAAUGAUCAGCCACACUGGGACUGGGACACGGCCCAGACUCCUACGGGAGGCAGCAGUGGGGAAUAUUGGACAAUGGGCGAAAGCCUGAUCCAGCAAUGCCGCGUGAGUGAUGAAGGCCUUAGGGUUGUAAAGCUCUUUUACCCGGGAUGAUAAUGACAGUACCGGGAGAAUAAGCUCCGGCUAACUCCGUG